Molecule: ribosomal RNA, 253 nt
Filed under: uncultured bacterium
Lineage: Bacteria
Description: partial 16S ribosomal RNA
Rfam family: Bacterial small subunit ribosomal RNA
Source: RNAcentral
UACGUAGGGGGCAAGCGUUGUCCGGAAUUAUUGGGCGUAAAGAGCGUGUAGGCGGUCCGGUAAGUCGGCUGUGAAAGUCCAGGGCUCAACCCUGGGAUGCCGGUCGAUACUGCCGGACUAGAGUUCGGAAGAGGCGAGUGGAAUUCCCGGUGUAGCGGUGAAAUGCGCAGAUAUCGGGAGGAACACCUAUGGCGAAGGCAGCUCGCUGGGACGUUACUGACGCUGAGGCGCGAAAGCCAGGGGAGCAAACGGG